This 618-nucleotide ribosomal RNA is filed under the name uncultured bacterium. Its description in RNAcentral is "bacterial SSU rRNA". It matches the Rfam family "Bacterial small subunit ribosomal RNA", at positions 224 to 858 of the family's 1533-position model. The record is from RNAcentral.
GAUGGGUCCGCGUCUGAUUAGGUAGUUGGCGGGGUAACGGCCCACCAAGCCCACGAUCAGUAGCCGGCCUGAGAGGGCGGACGGCCACACUGGGACUGAGACACGGCCCAGACUCCUGCGGGAGGCAGCAGUGGGGAAUAUUGCACAAUGGGGGGAACCCUGAUGCAGCGACGCCGCGUGAAGGAAGAAGUAUCUCGGUAUGUAAACUUCUAUCAGCAGGGAAGAAAGAGGACGGUACCUGACUAAGAAGCCCCGGCUAACUACGUGCCGGCAGCCGCGGUAAUACGUAGGGGGCGAGCGUUAUCCGGAUUUACUGGGUGUAAAGGGAGCGUAGACGGCCAUGCAAGCUCGGUGUGAAAGGUGCGGGCACAGCCCGCAGACUGCACUGAGAACUGUAUGGCUGGAGUGCCGGAGGGGCAGGCGGAAUUCCUGGUGUAGCGGUGAAAUGCGUAGAUAUCAGGAGGAACACCGGUGGCGAAGGCGGCCUGCUGGACGGCGACUGACGUUGAGGCUCGAAAGCGUGGGGAGCGAACAGGAUUAGAUACCCUGGUAGUCCACGCCGUAAACGAUGUAUACCAGGUGUCGGGCAUCAAGGAUGGCCGGUGCCGUAGCAAACGC